CAGUAGCCACGGUAAUACGUAGAGUGCAAGCGUUAAUCGGAAUUACUGGGCGUAAAGCGUGCGCAGGCGGUUCUAUAAGACAGAUGUGAAAUCCCCGGGCUCAACCUGGGAACUGCAUUUGUGACUGUAGAGCUGGAGUGCGGCAGAGGGGGAUGGAAUUCCGCGUGUAGCAGUGAAAUGCGUAGAUAUGCGGAGGAACACCGAUGGCGAAGGCAAUCCCCUGGGCCUGCACUGACGCUCAUGCACGAAAGCGUGGGGAGCAAACAGGAUUAGAUACCCGGGUAGUCCCUGUCUCUUAUAC
This 301-nucleotide ribosomal RNA is filed under the name uncultured bacterium. Its description in RNAcentral is "partial 16S ribosomal RNA". It matches the Rfam family "Bacterial small subunit ribosomal RNA", at positions 509 to 807 of the family's 1533-position model. The record is from RNAcentral.